UACGGGGGGAGCAAGCGUUGUUCGGGAUUUACUGGGCGUUAAAGGGCGCGUAGGCGGUCGUGACAAGUCACUUGUGAAAUCUCCGGGCUUAACUCGGAACGGUCAAGUGAUACUGUCGGGCUAGAGUACGGAAGAGGCGAGUGGAAUUCCCGGUGUGAGCGGUGAAAUGCGCAGAUAUCGGGAGGAACACCAAUUGCGAAGGCGAGCUCGCUGGGACGUCGACUGACGCUAAGGCGCGAAAAGCGUGGGGAGCGAACAGG
This 260-nucleotide ribosomal RNA is filed under the name uncultured bacterium. RNAcentral describes it as "partial 16S ribosomal RNA". It matches the Rfam family "Bacterial small subunit ribosomal RNA", at positions 524 to 776 of the family's 1533-position model. The record is from RNAcentral.